Molecule: ribosomal RNA, 245 nt
Filed under: uncultured delta proteobacterium
Lineage: Bacteria; Deltaproteobacteria
Description: partial 16S ribosomal RNA
Rfam family: Bacterial small subunit ribosomal RNA
Source: RNAcentral
UACGGAGGGUGCAAGCGUUGUUCGGAAUCACUGGGCGUAAAGGGCGUGUAGGUGGCUAAUUAAGUCAGGUGUGAAAUCCUUCCGCUUAACGGGAGAAGUGCACUUGAAACUGCUUAGCUAGAGUACGGGAGAGGAAGGUGGAAUUCCUGGUGUAGAGGUGAAAUUCAUAGAUAUCGGGAAGAACACCGGUGGCGAAGGCGGCCUUCUGGCCCGAUACUGACGCUGAGACGCGAAAGCGUGGGGAG